RNAcentral lists this ribosomal RNA (423 nucleotides) under uncultured bacterium. RNAcentral's name for it is "bacterial SSU rRNA". It matches the Rfam family "Bacterial small subunit ribosomal RNA", at positions 355 to 794 of the family's 1533-position model. The record is from RNAcentral.
UGAGGAAUAUUGGGGCAAUGGAGGGAACUCUGACCCAGCCAUGCCGCGUGAGUGAAGAAGGUUUUCGGAUUGUAAAGCUCUUUUAUAAGUGAAGAUAAUGACGGUAACUUAUGAAUAAGCUCCGGCUAACUUCGUGCCAGCAGCCGCGGUAAUACGAAGGGAGCGAGCGUUGUUCGGAAUAACUGGGCGUAAAGGGCGCGUAGGCGGAUUGGUAAGUUUGAUGUGAAAUACCUGGGCUCAACCUGGGAACUGCAUUGGAUACUGCUGAUCUAGAGAGUUGAAAGGGAUGAUGGAAUUAUGCAUGGAGAGGUGGAAUUCAUAGAUAUGCAUAGGAACACCGGAGGCGAAGGCGAUCAUCUGGGCAACGACUGACGCUGAGGCGCGAAAGCGUGGGGAGCAAACAGGAUUAGAUACCCUGGUAGU